AUUGAACGCUGGCGGCAGGCCUAACACAUGCAAGUCGAACGAGUGGCGGACGGGUGAGUAAUGUCUGGGAAACUGCCCGAUGGAGGGGGAUAACUACUGGAAACGGUAUCUAAUACCGCAUACCCUCGGAUGUGCCCAGAUGGGAUUAGCUAGUAGGUGGGGUAACGGCUCCCCUAGGCGACGAUCCCUAGCUGGUCUGAGAGGAUGACCAGCCACACUGGAACUGAGACACGGUCCAGACUCCUACGGGAGGCAGCAGUGGGGAAUAUUGCACAAUGGGCGCAAGCCUGAUGCAGCCAUGCCGCGUGUAUGAAGAAGGCCUUCGGGUUGUAAAGUACUUUCAGCGGGGAGGCGUUACCCGCAGAAGAAGCACCGGCUAACUCCGUGCCAGCAGCCGCGGUAAUUC
Molecule: ribosomal RNA, 406 nt
Filed under: uncultured bacterium
Lineage: Bacteria
Description: partial 16S ribosomal RNA
Rfam family: Bacterial small subunit ribosomal RNA
Source: RNAcentral